Long non-coding RNA from Oncorhynchus tshawytscha (Chinook salmon), 979 nucleotides. The record is from Ensembl. Lineage: Eukaryota; Metazoa; Chordata; Actinopteri; Salmoniformes; Salmonidae.
CCUUGCUGUCACCCUGCUGUCACCCUGCUGUCACCCUGCUGUCACCCUGCUGUCACCUUGCUGUCACCCUGUUGUCACCCUGCUGUCACCUUGUUGUCACCCUGCUGUCACCUUGCUGUCACCCUGCUGUCACCCUGCUGUCACAAGGAAGCUUUGAAAUCCUCUUCAGUCCCUUUCACAGAAUCUCAUGUGAUCCUCUAUCUAGGGUGGUUUCUGUGGUCUAGGGUGGUUUCUGUGGUCUAGGGUGGUUUCUGUGGUCUAGGGUGGUUUCUGUGGUCUAGGUGGUUUCUGUGGUGUAGGGUGGUUUCUGUGGUCUAGGGUGGUUUCUGUGGUCUAGGGUGGUUUCUGUGGUCUAGGGUAGUUUCUGUGGUCUAGGGUGGUUUCUGUGGUCUAGGGUGGUUUCUGUGGUCUAGGGUAGUUUCUGUGGUCUAGGGUAGUUUCUGUGGUCUGGGGUGGUUUCUGUGGUCUAGGUUGGUUUCUGUGGUCUAGGGCGGUUUCUGUGGACCCUGCCAUCAUUCAGAGUUUCAAUCAGAACAUGAUCUAGAGACUGAAUCUGGAGACUGAAUCUGGAGACUGAAUCUGGAGACUGAAUCUAGAGACUUGAAUCUAGAGACUUGAAUCUAGAGACUUGAAUCUAGAGACUUGAAUCUAGAGACUUGAAUCUAGAGACUUGAAUCUAGAGACUUGAAUCUAGUGACUUGAAUCUAGAGACUUGAAUCUAGUGACUGGAUCUGGAGACUGCCACCUACUUGCUUACUGUCUACGUGUGUAUCUACAUGCCUGACUUGUUGUGUGUUUCGGUGACUAAUGACUGUUUCAUGUAAAUAUUAAAUAUAUACAUCACACUCCUCUUAACCUGUUUAGUCCAAUGGUUUUAGAUUAUACAAGUCAAUCAAUGACCAUGUGGUUUCUGGGUGAUGUCUUCUUAUAGAUACAGGUCUCUACCUAGCCAUAGGGUCAAGAGUAGUGCACUAUGUAG